AGAGUUUGAUCCUGGCUCAGAGUGAACGUUGGCGGCGUGGAUUAGGCAUGCAAGUCGUGCGACGAGGCCCGCAAGGGUCUCGAGCGGCGAAAGGGAGAGUAAUGCAUGGGUAACCUGCCCCCGGGACUGGGAUAGCCGCGGGAAACUGCGGGUAAUACCAGAUGACGUCUCAUGGCGAUUGUCAUGGGACCAAAGGUGCGAGUCCGCCUGGGGAGGGGCCCAUGUCCUAUCAGCUAGUUGGCGAGGUAACGGCUCACCAAGGCUACGACGGGUACGGGGUGUGAGAGCAUGUCCCCGCUCACUGGGACUGAGACACUGCCCAGACACCUACGGGUGGCUGCAGUCGAGAAUCUUCGGCAAUGGGCGCAAGCCUGACCGAGCGACGCCGCGUGCGGGACGAAGGCCAUUGUGUUGUAAACCGCUGUCAGAGGGGAGGAAAUGUCGGCCCUCAGGGUCGGCUUGACCUAUCCUCAGAGGAAGGACGGGCUAAGUCCGUGCCAGCAGCCGCGGUAAGACGGACCGUCCGAACGUUACUCGGAAUUACUGGGCUUAAAGGGUGCGUAGGCGGCUCUGCAAGUCGAGUGUGAAAUCCCCCGGCUUAACCGAGGAAUUGCGCCCGAAACUGCAGAGCUCGAGGGAGAUA
RNAcentral lists this ribosomal RNA (643 nucleotides) under uncultured bacterium. RNAcentral describes it as "bacterial SSU rRNA". It matches the Rfam family "Bacterial small subunit ribosomal RNA", at positions 8 to 653 of the family's 1533-position model. The record is from RNAcentral.